UGAGCUGGCAGCUGCUGCGCCCGGGACGCCCCCCGCCCUCCCACAUUCCCCGGGCUGGCAAGUGCAGACCUGAAAGUCACCUGGACCUCUCUCGGUGGCCCGAAGCCCGUCCGAGCCCGGAAGCGCUCCAGUUUUCUUGCCCAGCUUUACCCCAGAUGAAGACACAUCUUUUAUGUUCUUUCCCAAGACAAAGCCCUUGUGUGAGCAACUGGUCCUGAGGACAGAGUGAGACAGAGAGAGAGACCGCAGUCACACAUCCCUGCCAGGUGAUGCAUGGUCAGGCCUCGCAGGCCCUCUCCACCACUGUUUUGGGAGCUGCCUCCCUGUCAAGGCCUCUUCCAGACCUGGCCUCCUCUUCUCCCUGGUACCUCCUCCAGGGAUGGAUCCUGAGACAGAACGACAGGGGACAGAGUCCGUGGGGCACAGCUCUGAACACUAACAUUCAUGAUGAAUAUUGAAGUAAGAGAUAUUAUAUAUAAUGCUUCCCAACUACUCUUUGUAAAUCAAAAUUUAUUUAAACAGGUUAAUCUUGUAACUACAGUAAGUUAAGCUCUUGGUACACAGAAAUAGAUAAUAUGUUUCAAGUGUUCCUCAUUGUGAGACCAUUCAUAAACACUGUUAUGGGACUUUGGUAGCCAGCUCCAACCAGUACUGUCUUUCCCUGUCCAGAAACACUGGAAAAGGAAAACAUGCACUCAGGAAAUUCACUUCCAAGUGAGCUUCAUUUAUAAAUAUCCUGCAAGUUACACUUCCGUCCAGCUGCAGUUUGAGUGACUGUAUAAUCACUACCACAGUGAAACCAAAUGAGAGAAAAUUCAAUGUUGAUUCAUAAGAAAAAGUUGACGUUGCUGGAUCAAGAGGAGAUACUUGCUCUAUCCUGAGAUCACAUGACCUUUGAGACUUUACUAAUGAGAUUCACGUUUAUGUAGUACACACUUACAGAACACUAUCCCCCAAAUCCUAACCUGUCCAGUGUCCAUCUGAGAUACUACAUAAUACCUGAGGGUCAGUACCGACUAGCUGUGUAAAGCACAUGAUGGAAACCUCACCAGACCCGGGCAGUUCCGUGCAUGCAUCCGGCUGCAGGUACAGCCUGAUCUAGGUCUCAAGCAGUAUUCUCCCUGUGUCACCUCUGACUUCUGCUUCCCUGAGAACUUGGUACCCCACAAAACCCCAAGCAUGGAUGUUUGUGGCAGUUGUGUUAUAAUAGCCAGAUGCUGGAGUCAGGUGGGACGUCCUUCAGAGGGGGAGUGGUGAGCAGACUGACAGGUGCACACCAGGGAGCGCGGUCAGCACUGAAGUGGAAAAGAAGAACAAAUGAGGAAUCGCUACGUGGAGAAUGACUCCCGAGAAGGUGUAACUCCAUUUACACAACAUCUUGAAAUGACGUUUUGGAGACAGUACACAUUAGUAGCUGCAGGGGUCAGCAGUGGAGGUAGGUUUGCAGGGAGAGGGAGGGAAGUGAUGCACUUAUAAAAGACCGGCUUGAGGAAUCCGUGUGGCGUUGGGCAGUGCAGUGUCUUGAUUGUGGUGGUGGACCCAAAACCUACACAGAUGAAAACAUUCUGUAAAACUUAGCACACACACUGACGCAGACACAAAUAAGUACGGGAAAUGCGGGAAGUCUGAAGAAGGUGAGUGGACCAAAUGAGCAUCCACGUCCUGGUGGUGAUACUGUAUGACAGUUAUGCAAAUGUGAUUGUUGGGAGAAAUUGGGCAAAGUUUACAAAGGAUCUCUGUGUUAUUUCUUAACAACUGCGUGUGAAUCUGCAAUUACCUCAGUAAAGUCUUUAAUAAAGAUGUCGGUAGUGUUUA
This is a non-coding RNA of Leptonychotes weddellii (Weddell seal), 1815 nucleotides long. NCBI's taxonomy places the organism in Eukaryota, Metazoa, Chordata, Mammalia, Carnivora, Phocidae. The record is from RefSeq and is a predicted model, not a curated record.